UGGGGAAUAUUGCACAAUGGGCGAAAGCCUGAUGCAGCAACGCCGCGUGAGUGAUGAAGGUCUUCGGAUUGUAAAGCUCUGUCUUUUGGGACGAUAAUGACGGUACCAAAGGAGGAAGCCACGGCUAACUACGUGCCAGCAGCCGCGGUAAUACGUAGGUGGCGAGCGUUGUCCGGAUUUACUGGGCGUAAAGGGUGCGUAGGCGGAUGUUUAAGUGAGAUGUGAAAUACCCGGGCUUAACUUGGGUGCUGCAUUUCAAACUGGAUAUCUAGAGUGCAGGAGAGGAGAAUGGAAUUCCUAGUGUAGCGGUGAAAUGCGUAGAGAUUAGGAAGAACACCAGCGGCGAAGGCGAUUCUCUGGACUGUAACUGACGCUGAGGCACGAAAGCGUGGGUAGCAAACAGGAUUAGAUACCCUGGUAGU
Molecule: ribosomal RNA, 422 nt
Filed under: uncultured bacterium
Lineage: Bacteria
Description: partial 16S ribosomal RNA
Rfam family: Bacterial small subunit ribosomal RNA
Source: RNAcentral